This 429-nucleotide ribosomal RNA is filed under the name uncultured Dialister sp. Its description in RNAcentral is "bacterial SSU rRNA". It matches the Rfam family "Bacterial small subunit ribosomal RNA", at positions 355 to 776 of the family's 1533-position model. Lineage: Bacteria; Bacillati; Bacillota; Negativicutes; Veillonellales; Veillonellaceae. The record is from RNAcentral.
UGGGGAAUCUUCCGCAAUGGGCGAAAGCCUGACGGAGCAACGCCGCGUGAGUGAUGACGGCCUUCGGGUUGUAAAGCUCUGUGAUCGGGGACGAACGGUCAGCAGACGAAUACUCUGCUGAAGUGACGGUACCCGAAUAGCAAGCCACGGCUAACUACGUGCCAGCAGCCGCGGUAAUACGUAGGUGGCAAGCGUUGUCCGGAAUUAUUGGGCGUAAAGCGCGCGCAGGCGGCUUCUUAAGUCCAUCUUAAAAGUGCGGGGCUUAACCCCGUGAUGGGAUGGAAACUGAGAGGCUGGAGUAUCGGAGAGGAAAGUGGAAUUCCUAGUGUAGCGGUGAAAUGCGUAGAGAUUAGGAAGAACACCGGUGGCGAAGGCGACUUUCUGGACGACAACUGACGCUGAGGCGCGAAAGCGUGGGGAGCAAACAGG